ACUAGGUCCCAGGCACAUUGCCAAGUGGCUUACAUAUUGUCUUCUCCUAUGAUAAGUAUUUUUAGUCCUUCUUUCAUAGAUGAGUAAAUUAAGGUACAGAGAUGACAAAUAAUUGGCCCAAAUCCAAUAGCCAAGAAGUCACAAAAUCAAGAUUCACAACAGUUCCCUUUGGGUCUGAUCCUAGAGUUGUACCCUUCCCCAUUCCAUGGCAUUAGGGAGGCGGAAGGGAACUCCCUUUCUGCUUCCUGGAAUCCAGGCUGGCUUGGUGACUUGCCGACCACAGAACGCUGUGGAAGGGACAUUCUGGGGCUUCCCAUCUCCAACAUAAGAAGGCAGGACUUGCUUCUGUGAGGUACUGAGCCACCCGUCCCUGGAGGAAAGCAAGAACAGAGCAGAUCAGAGCCCAGGCAGACAUCUUGGAUGAUGGGUGAGAUCUUCCUGGGGUUCUUGCUGUACCUGCUGACAAGGGGCAGCUCUCUCUAAAUGCCACGGAGCUGGAAGGCUGCAGCCUGGAACUUGCUGCAGCCCACCCAGGCAAGCAAGAGAUGACAUAGUUUCAGCACCUGGAUCUAUGGCACCCAGAAGCCAGAUCCAACCCCCCAGCCCUUAUCUUUGACCUUGAGCCAGUCUGAACUGGUAACUGGAAGUCACUUAUCUACCAGAUUCAACUAUCAGGAUGUUACUAAUAAAAAAUGACUCCAAAAAUGAAAA
This 711-nucleotide long non-coding RNA is filed under the name Homo sapiens (human). RNAcentral's name for it is "long intergenic non-protein coding RNA 2369". Lineage: Eukaryota; Metazoa; Chordata; Mammalia; Primates; Hominidae. The record is from RNAcentral.